RNAcentral lists this ribosomal RNA (460 nucleotides) under uncultured bacterium. Its description in RNAcentral is "partial 16S ribosomal RNA". It matches the Rfam family "Bacterial small subunit ribosomal RNA", at positions 338 to 795 of the family's 1533-position model. The record is from RNAcentral.
CCUACGGGAGGCAGCAGUGAGGAAUAUUGGUCAAUGGACGCAACUCUGAACCAGCCAAGUAGCGUGCAGGAUGACGGCCCUAUGGGUUGUAAACUGCUUUUAUGCGGGAAUAAACUGAGUCACGUGUGGCUUUUUGUAUGUACUUCAUGAAUAAGGACCGGCUAAUUCCGUGCCAGCAGCCGCGGUAAUACGGAGGGUCCGGGCGUUAUCCGGAUUUAUUGGGUUUAAAGGGAGCGUAGAUGGGUCGUUAAGCGAGUUGUGAAAGGUUGCGGCUCAACCGUAGAACUGCAGGGGGAACUGGCGGCCUUGAGUGCGCUUGAGGUAGGCGGAAUUCGUGGUGUAGCGGUGAAAUGCUUAGAUAUCACGAAGAACUCCGAUUGCGAAGGCAGCCUACCAUAGUGCCACUGACGUUGAGGCUCGAAGGUGCGGGUAUCGAACAGGAUUAGAUACCCUAGUAGUC